RNAcentral lists this long non-coding RNA (210 nucleotides) under Homo sapiens (human). Its description in RNAcentral is "HSALNT0338364". Lineage: Eukaryota; Metazoa; Chordata; Mammalia; Primates; Hominidae. The record is from RNAcentral.
CAACCCUCAGCGUGGACGCUGGCAGCUGCGACCUCUCAUGAAAGGGUGCGGAUGGCCUCUGGUGAACUGGAUGAGGUCUCUGUUGUUGUGGUGAUGAAAGAAGAUAACAUAAAAACAGAAAAAUGGCGAAGAGCACAGAUUCCACAGCCUAAUGUCCUGAGUUUAAAUUCCUACUCUGCCAUUUACCAGAGUUCCACUCUUGUCGCCCAG